CUCCGUAGGUGAACCUGCGGAGGGAUCAUUACACAAUAACAAGGCGGGCUGGACACCCCCCGCUGGGCACUGCUUCACGGCGUGCGCGGCGGGGCCGGCCCUGCUGAAUUAUUCACCCGUGUCUUUUGCGUACUUCUUGUUUCCUGGGUGGGCUCGCCCGCCCUCAGGACCAACCACAAACCUUUUGCAAUAGCAAUCAGCGUCAGUAACAACGUAAUUAAUUACAACUUUCAACAACGGAUCUCUUGGUUCUGGCAUCGAUGAAGAACGCAGCGAAAUGCGAUACGUAGUGUGAAUUGCAGAAUUCAGUGAAUCAUCGAAUCUUUGAACGCACAUUGCGCCCUUUGGUAUUCCAAAGGGCAUGCCUGUUCGAGCGUCAUUUGUACCCUCAAGCUUUGCUUGGUGUUGGGCGUCUUUUGUCUCCAGUUCGCUGGAGACUCGCCUUAAAGUCAUUGGCAGCCGGCCUACUGGUUUCGGAGCGCAGCACAAGUCGCGCUCUUCGCCAGCCAAGGUCAGCGUCCAGCAAGCCUUUUUUUCAACCUUUGACCUCGGAUCAGGUAGGGAUACCCGCUGAAC
This 576-nucleotide ribosomal RNA is filed under the name Alternaria sp. CBS 303.71. Its description in RNAcentral is "eukaryotic LSU rRNA". The stretch from base 226 to 379 matches the Rfam family "5.8S ribosomal RNA". The record is from RNAcentral. Lineage: Eukaryota; Fungi; Ascomycota; Dothideomycetes; Pleosporales; Pleosporaceae.